AGGGGUAUAGCUCAGUGUUAGAACAUGUGCUUGGCAUGGACGAGGUCCUGGGUUUAAUCCCCAGUGCCUCCG
RNAcentral lists this transfer RNA (72 nucleotides) under Camelus bactrianus (Bactrian camel). It matches the Rfam family "tRNA". Rfam says of the family: Transfer RNA (tRNA) molecules are approximately 80 nucleotides in length. Their secondary structure includes four short double-helical elements and three loops (D, anti-codon, and T loops). Further hydrogen bonds mediate the characteristic L-shaped molecular structure. tRNAs have two regions of fundamental functional importance: the anti-codon, which is responsible for specific mRNA codon recognition, and the 3' end, to which the tRNAs corresponding amino acid is attached (by aminoacyl-tRNA synthetases). tRNAs cope with the degeneracy of the genetic code in two manners: having more than one tRNA (with a specific anti-codon) for a particular amino acid; and 'wobble' base-pairing, i.e. permitting non-standard base-pairing at the 3rd anti-codon position. The record is from Rfam by way of RNAcentral. Lineage: Eukaryota; Metazoa; Chordata; Mammalia; Artiodactyla; Camelidae. RNAcentral also lists the same sequence under 2 other names.